This 903-nucleotide ribosomal RNA is filed under the name Triticum aestivum (bread wheat). RNAcentral describes it as "partial small subunit ribosomal RNA". Lineage: Eukaryota; Viridiplantae; Streptophyta; Magnoliopsida; Poales; Poaceae. The record is from RNAcentral.
GUAGGUGCAAUAGGUGGUCUUUUUGUCAUAACACUUGUGGUGUUCUUUCUCCUUCUCCAUAGACAAAAGAGGAAGAUGAAACAACUUUAUCUGAAAAAUGGAGGCCCUGCACUACAAAAGGCAAACAAUAUAAAGAUUUACAGAACGGAGGAGCUCAAGCCAAUUUUGAAGUGUGCCAAUUUUAUAGGAAAAGGCUGCUUUGGUGAAGUUUACAAGAUCUUGAUAACCAACACUAAUGUUGCACAUAACGAGCAAUUUGCAAACCAAGUCAUUAUUCAGUCUCAAGUCAUCCACAACAACAUUGUAAGGCUCGUAGGUUGUUGCCUAGAAGUUGAUAUCCCAAUGCUAGUCUACGAGUUCCUCUCCAAAGGUAGCCUCGAUGAAACUCUUCACAGCAACAAUAUUGCCGCAGAAUCAGCGGAAGGUCUAGCGUACAUGCAUUCGAAAACCGGCAAAAGAAUUCUGCGUGGUCAUGUGAAACCAGCAAAUAUACUCUUGGAUGCUGACUUUGGUAUAUCAAGGAUGAUUGCAAGGGAUAAGGAACACACUACAUCUGUGAUUGGUGAUAGGACUUACAUGGAUCCAACAUAUCUUUUGGAACGAAGGCUCAAGAAAAAGAGUGAUGUCUACAGUUUUGGAGUACUACUCUUCGAACUUGUUAGCAGGAGGAAGGCCACUUAUUCUGACCAUAACAGCUUAGUGAGGAAUUUUGUUGAUGCUCACAAAACAGAGAAGAUACCAAUUGGAAUGUUUGACAAGGAAUUUGCAGAACCAGGAGAUUUGGAGCUUCUUGGUAGCCUUGCAAGGGUUGCCGUGGAAUGCCUUAACCUUGAUGUGGAUGAAAGACCAGCAAUGACAGAUGUUGUAGAGCGCCUUCUCAUGUUGAAGAGAUCACGUAAGUAG